RNAcentral lists this ribosomal RNA (439 nucleotides) under uncultured bacterium. RNAcentral describes it as "bacterial SSU rRNA". It matches the Rfam family "Bacterial small subunit ribosomal RNA", at positions 28 to 460 of the family's 1533-position model. The record is from RNAcentral.
GAUGAACGCUAGCGGCAGGCUUAAUACAUGCAAGUCGAGGGGCAGCAUAGUGUAGCAAUACAUGGGUGGCGACCGGCAAACGGGUGCGGAACACGUACAGAACCUUCCUUCGAGCGGGGAAUAGCCCAGAGAAAUUUGGAUUAAUACCCCAUAGGAUAGUGGAGUGGCAUCACUCAGCUAUUAAAGAUUUAUCACUUGAAGAUGGCUGUGCGUCUGAUUAGGUAGUUGGUGGGGUAACGGCCCACCAAGCCAGCGAUCAGUAACUGGUGUGAGAGCACGACCAGUCACACGGGCACUGAGACACGGGCCCGACUCCUACGGGAGGCAGCAGUAAGGAUAUUGGUCAAUGGGACGCAAGUCUGAACCAGCCAUGCCGCGUGGAGGAUGAAGGUCCUCUGGGAUUGUAAACUUCUUUUAUCUGGGACGAAAAAGGGCCUUU